GCUCCUAUGGGUAGCCUGGGAAAGCAUGCCACGCGAAGGGGCCUUUUGUAAAACUUUUCAGCUCAACUACCUUGCAGAAAUACUUCGAGCUUUAGUAUUCCAUUUUCUUUUCCCAAUCUAAGAUAGGUUCUUAAAUACUCAAAAUACACGAGCGCAAAAGAAUUCCAUGUAUUAAUUCAUUGGUGUUUAGAUUUUUCCCCAAAGUUUUUCUGGAAGACCGCAGUGAAAGGGUCACCUGUCUCUCAAUUCCCUUUGCCACAAGAUCGGAUCCAGCAUAGAGCAGCAGCUGUUCGCGGGCCCGGGUGAUACGCGGUGUAAAUAAGCUCGCGGCUGACUACUCGGCUCUUCUGUUGGGGGCAGAACGAAUAUAAACCUCGAUGAAUUCAGAUCCCUGAGCCUGAUGCGCCGUGAUGGCAUCCGCAGUCAUCAUGGCCUGGAAGUCGUAACAAGGUACCCGUA
Molecule: ribosomal RNA, 459 nt
Filed under: uncultured bacterium
Lineage: Bacteria
Description: partial 16S ribosomal RNA
Source: RNAcentral